This is a long non-coding RNA of Glycine soja, 1272 nucleotides long. RefSeq lists it as uncharacterized. The record is from RefSeq and is a predicted model, not a curated record. The transcript is spliced from 2 exons. Lineage: Eukaryota; Viridiplantae; Streptophyta; Magnoliopsida; Fabales; Fabaceae.
CUCCUUUACCUUUAUCCACCCUUUCUUGUAUUAUAAUUACAUCUUAUACCACCAACUACCCCAUUAAACUUCAAAUCAAAAGGCUUCCUUCCGUGUGAAUUGAGACAUGAACAUUGAAGAGGAAAAGAAGCAUUCUCCAGAGCCAGAGAAAAAGAGAGAGGAAAAGGGAGACAAAAUUGGGGGAAGGCAUGGGUAUGGGGGGAUUGGGAAGGAAUAUCCAUAAGCAAAAUAUGCUAUUUCUUCCCUACACCUCCCAUACCACUGUUUUUCCUCUCUUUCUCCCCCUUCCCUUCCUUUCUGCUGCCUUUCUAUAUCAAACCUCCUUCUCAUCUCUUCAUGACUGCUUUUAUAACUGAUAGCACCCUACUUUUGAAGCUACUAGGGGUUUGACCUGAGGCUUAUCAUAGACAGAAUUGUAUUUCCCAGUUUCUGGUACAUGACUAUAACUAAACUCUUUUCAUUGAGUAGAACUAGACGUAGUAACUACUCAUAAUCGCACAAGCAUAGAACCACCCUGGCACAAAAGCAUGUAACAAGUUUGGCAUUGCUUUCCAUUAGCAAAUAAAAAAGACAGACUUGGAAUUGGCAAUCCCAAACCAACACAUGAUAAAAUUUCACCUGCAUGGAAUGCAUAUAGAUAAACAAUGAAUGGCUGGAGAGUUCAUGUAUAGUUCUAAUCAUUUAACAUCCCCACUGACUAUUACUGUUGGUUUUUAACACAUAAAAUUCAAGAGCAUAUCUUAAGUUGACUUGGGAUUGGCCCAGUCCAGUGGAGAUAAUUGUAGUUCCUAGUUCCAACUUUGAAAAUAUUGGGUUACUACUUACUAAGAACUUGUUAACGGUUAACUUCACAAGCCACCAUGAUGAAUCACCUCAAGGUAGAAGAAAGUUGUGCAGUAAAUAGGCCUUACAAUAGCCACAACCUGUAAGGUACUAAUUACUCUGACUAGUGAUUACUGAUAACUAUUUGCAUAUGGAAAUUAAGAUUAGUGGACACAUUUAUGCUAUAUGUAGCCUGUGGUUUAUGAUUUGCGUUAGUGAACCAAGAAGGACAUUUGUAAAGCAGACUAUAAAAAUUCAAGAAGGGAUUUAAAACGAAACAACGAUUCAAUCAAUGAAACUAUCUGAAUUGCCAGGCAGAGAAGUUAUGCAAUCAAUAAAACUAUCUGAUAGUUAGAGAGACUAAUUGUAGGAAAUGGAACAUGUAUUCAGAUUGUAAGCAAUGUGUUAAUCAAAGUACGUUUCCCCAAAAUGAAUUUAUUUUUCAUUCAA